GCCGGACCUGCUGAGUUUGUUUAGCAUUGCUUCGUUUUCAUUUCAGAUGUUCAGAAUCCACAGUUUAUUUUGCUGUGGGCUAUUUUGGAACAUGCUCAAUUCCACUGCUGUCUUUGUAAGAAAUAGAAGUCACCUGCACUUACACAGUUGAUUUAUUUUCUGUUGCUAAUGCCUACAGAAUCAACAGAGAAGCUCUGAUACUUCUCAUCAUGGAUCCUUUUAAGAACUGGGGAAUCUCACCAGGAUUGCUGCUAGCCUGAGGAAGUAAUUGAAGGAGGCUUUGAGCUGUGAGCUACAUAUGAGAAGGGACAGGAUUGUAAGCGAGUGCUUAGAAGGCACCAAUGAGCAUCCAAACAAUCUCCACCCUGAGCUGGGGUGUCCUUCCAGUUAAAACCUCCUCCUCUAAGGAAGAAGAUACAGAUGCCUCAGGAGGGGAACAGCAAGGCUGUCUCCUGCACCGUCCAUCAGCUUAGACACUGACACCUCAGUCAAUACCUUAUGUAGAUUAAAGUCAGGAGACAUUCUGGUGGGCACCAGACUGCUGCGUCUCCACAGCUGGUUGAGGAAUGACUGUCCCAGGUCGCUGGCACUCAGAGGAUUGCCAGAAGCCAGAAACCAUCUCAAACCCAGGCAGGAGAGGAGCCAAUAGUGUUGGCCAAUAAUAACUUCACUAACAUGCACAAGGGGGCAUAGGAGCAAGAGGCAGUUUCUCUGAGACACAUAGAAAGCUGGUUAAAAGCGUUGCAGGAUUCCACAAUCUGUACCUUGCCAGUUCUGGUAUGUGUUAGGAGAAGAAUAAUUGGAGCAGGCUUUAUUGCUGGUGGUAGAUUUAAUAAUCUUUCUGAAAACUGAAGGAAGUGCUUGGAGACAGUUAGUCAAAGUUACUACUCAGUGAAGCAGAAAGACUAACUCUCAUUGGGAGCAACUGUGGAAUUUUGUUAUAAGGACUGCAAUUCUGUGGGGAAAGGAAUAAAUAUAAAAGAAAAUGCGCCUUUCUGUAGUUUAAAGCAUCAUUUUCUGCCAGAAAAUAUGUAGUGUUUAGUCUAUAGUGCUUUUAGCAAUUUAUUGCAAUCAAAAUUUUAUACUAUGAAUUGCCAUUCUUUCAGCUAUCAACUGGAAGUUUGAAUCUCUUUUUAACGGACUUGGGUGGCACACUGGAAAUUAAGCUCCACUAUUCCUGGAAUCAUCAUAAAAAUUCAACCAAAGUAUGCAAAGUCCCAGAUUAGCUUGUUUGAUAGCAGAAAACAGAACUGAACAGAAUUCUGCACUUAACAAGAACUACUUAUUAUUGUGAAAAUAAUACUCUAACCAUAGAUAAAGAGCCAUGAGCUGCUGACAUAUACCCUAAUAGUUAACACCCGUUCUAAGCAUUCUGCAACACCCCCACCAUACACAUGUACACAGAUAGAUGAGAAAAGCAUUGUAUAACAGAUGGAGACAAACAAAUAAUGGGGAAAUAGUUCAAUAGCACCAAUCCACAGGAUUCAAUAGAGCGUUUCUUUUGUUUCCCAAGUCCUUCAGUUCUCAGAUUCUUUUCUGUUAGGUUCUCUCACUUCUUUACAGGAGACACAGAGCAACUGGUUCAUGAAGUGUAUUUUAUAUGAUGAAUUAUAUUGGUUAAAAGCAAUGUUUAACAGUAAUUGGCUGGGAGAAAAUAAAUUGGUUU
Molecule: long non-coding RNA, 1666 nt
Organism: Rhincodon typus (whale shark)
Lineage: Eukaryota; Metazoa; Chordata; Chondrichthyes; Orectolobiformes; Rhincodontidae
Exons: 3
Source: RefSeq, a predicted model, not a curated record